GCUUGAAUCAGCCCGGUGAAGAUAGUCGCUCUAUAAAUUAAUGGGGGAUAGGGGGAGAGAGGGUGUCACUGUUUCCAUUAUAAAAGACACAUCUGUAGCCACAUUGUAUCAGCCAUUAAUGCAGGUAUUUCCCUAUUUUAUACCCAGCUGUGACGCGUGGCUGGCUAAGCGUGGUUGGCAUUGUAGUCGUAACGUGCCAGUAGUUGCCAUUUUUGUGUUGUUGUUAUUAAAGGCACAUCCCACAUUAAGCAGUGCAGCCCAUACACUGUAUGGGAGCUCACACAUUGCCCUUUUAAGAAUUCUGACAUUCUCACACAAACAAGCUGUGUGAGGGAGGGGGCUCCUGCACUCCUCAGGGCUUCCUUGCAGUGCCCAUGGGUGUCCAGAACCCCC
This is a non-coding RNA of Pelobates cultripes (western spadefoot toad), 393 nucleotides long. Lineage: Eukaryota; Metazoa; Chordata; Amphibia; Anura; Pelobatidae. The record is from the annotation of a GenBank genome assembly.